UGCAGAGCUCCUCAGUGUCACAUGGAGUCUUCUGACCACACCUCGGGGUCUCCCCGCUUCCCUCACUGCACCCUGUUAAGUCCUUCCAUGACAUGGAUAUCUACACUUGCCGGAGAGUGAGCAGAUGAGCCACACUGGACCAGCAGAGACGCCCCAAACAAAACACUUGCUGGAAAUACUGUCUGUCCCGGCUGCCUUCCCACUCCUGGCUGCCCGGCAGGCUUCCCUUACCAGCAGCACAAGGACUCUUCAGAAGACACUGGUCUUCAAACUCCACCUCCAGGAACCAAGGAGUUUCCUAUUUCAGUUUUCCUGCCCGGCCUGGAGAGUGAAGCCGCUUGAAGAACCCACUUGUAGUCUUCUCUUUACUGUCUUAUAUACUGGGGUUUCAGAUUAUAUUUUUAUUAAAAGUUAGAAUUACAUUUAA
Molecule: long non-coding RNA, 427 nt
Organism: Myotis brandtii (Brandt's bat)
Lineage: Eukaryota; Metazoa; Chordata; Mammalia; Chiroptera; Vespertilionidae
Exons: 4
Source: RefSeq, a predicted model, not a curated record